UUUAUUUUAAUGAUUUAUUCUUUUUGUAAGAUGUAUCCAUUAAUUUAUGUAAUUGUAAAUGUUUUGUAGUAAUAUUCAUUAACUGUUUUUCUUCGUUCUUGUAUUUUUUAUUUUCAUAUAUUUUAUUAAUAUAUUCAAUUUUACUGAUAUUCAUAUUUUGAGGGGUGAUUAAAUGGUAGUUGAUUAAAUGCUUUGCUAUAAU
This 202-nucleotide long non-coding RNA is filed under the name Capsicum annuum. RNAcentral's name for it is "long non-coding RNA (CANN_LNC001322)". The record is from RNAcentral. Lineage: Eukaryota; Viridiplantae; Streptophyta; Magnoliopsida; Solanales; Solanaceae.